UACAGAGGUCUCGAGCGUUAGGCGGAAUCACUGGGCUUAAAGCGUGUGUAGGCGGGUCGUUAAGUACCUUGUGAAAUCCCAUGGCUCAACCAUGGAACUGCUGGGUAUACUGGCGAUCUUGUGCAACCUAGGGGCGAGCGGAACAGAUGGUGGAGCGGUGAAAUGCGUAGAUAUCAAGAGGAACACCUGAGGUGAAGACGGGUUGCUGGGCUGACACUGACGCUGAGGCGCGAAAGCCAGGGGAGCAAACGGG
RNAcentral lists this ribosomal RNA (253 nucleotides) under uncultured bacterium. RNAcentral's name for it is "partial 16S ribosomal RNA". It matches the Rfam family "Bacterial small subunit ribosomal RNA", at positions 524 to 776 of the family's 1533-position model. The record is from RNAcentral.